Molecule: unclassified non-coding RNA, 336 nt
Filed under: soil metagenome
Description: partial contains 5.8S ribosomal RNA, internal transcribed spacer 2, and large subunit ribosomal RNA
Rfam family: 5.8S ribosomal RNA (bases 1-120)
Source: RNAcentral
GAUGAAGAACGUAGCGAAAUGCGAUAAGUAGUGUGAAUUGCAGAAUUCAGUGAAUCAUCGAAUCUUUGAACGCACAUUGCGCCCCUCGGUAUUCCGUGGGGCAUGCCUGUUCGAGCGUCAUCUACACCCUCAAGCUCUGCUUGGUGUUGGGCGUCUGUCCCGCCUCCGCGCGUGGACUCGCCCCAAAUUCAUUGGCAGCGGUCCUUGCCUCCCCUCGCGCAGCACAUUGCGCUUCUCGAGGGGCUACGGCUCGCGUCCAACAAGCACAUUUACCGUCUUUGACCUCGGAUCAGGUAGGGAUACCCGCUGAACUUAAGCAUAUCAAUAAGCGGAGGA